RNAcentral lists this transfer RNA (98 nucleotides) under Thaumarchaeota archaeon RBG_16_49_8. RNAcentral's name for it is "tRNA-His". The record is from RNAcentral. Lineage: Archaea; Thermoproteati; Nitrososphaerota.
GCCGCUGUGGUGUAGCCUGGCAGCAUAGGAGGCUGUGGACCUCUCGGCCGUGGGUUCGAAAAUCCGUGUUUUACGGGUCGAAAGUCCCACCGGCGGCC